GUGAGGAAUAUUGGUCAAUGGGCGAGAGCCUGAACCAGCCAAGUCGCGUGAAGGAAGAAGGAUCUAUGGUUCGUAAACUUCUUUUGCAGGGGAAUAAAGUGCGGGACGUGUCCUGUUUUGUAUGUACCCUGAGAAUAAGGAUCGGCUAACUCCGUGCCAGCAGCCGCGGUAAUACGGAGGAUCCGAGCGUUAUCCGGAUUUAUUGGGUUGAAAGGGUGCGUAGGUGGUUUGAUAAGUCAGCGGUGAAAGUUUGCAGCUUAACUGUAAAAAUGCCGUUGAAACUGUCGGACUUGAGUGUAAAUGAGGUAGGCGGAAUGCGUGGUGUAGCGGUGAAAUGCAUAGAUAUCACGCAGAACUCCGAUUGCGAAGGCAGCUUACUAAGCUACAACUGACACUGAAGCACGAAAGCGUGGGGAUCAAACAGGAUUAGAUACCCUAGUAGUCC
Molecule: ribosomal RNA, 445 nt
Filed under: uncultured bacterium
Lineage: Bacteria
Description: partial 16S ribosomal RNA
Rfam family: Bacterial small subunit ribosomal RNA
Source: RNAcentral